This is a long non-coding RNA of Myotis myotis, 336 nucleotides long. RefSeq lists it as uncharacterized. The record is from RefSeq and is a predicted model, not a curated record. NCBI's taxonomy places the organism in Eukaryota, Metazoa, Chordata, Mammalia, Chiroptera, Vespertilionidae. The transcript has 3 exons.
CUCAGGUUCCUCAUGACUCCAAUUAUUUGUUUCUUCUCCCUUAGGUCCACGCACUGUUAACAAUCUCUACACUUUUCCCAGAGCAGCAGAAAACGCAUGAAUCCCAGACUCCGUUCUGGGCUCCUCUGCAUGGUGUUUCCCUUCCUCCUGUCUGUCCUGAGCAUCUGGAUUGACUUCCUGCUGAAAAUGGAGUCUGCCUUGGGCUCAGCGAUCUAGAGAAAAGGCGCCAGAGAUGCCUCGCCCCUUCCACUGUGUAAGGACAUGGCGACAUGUUGGCCGUCUGCAGCACAGAACCCCACCGUGCCAGCACCUGAUCGCAGCCUUCCAGCCUCCAGA